CCUACGGGAGGCAGCAGCGAGGAAUCUUGGGCAAUGGGCGAAAGCCUGACCCAGCGACGCCGCGUGGGGGAAGAAGGCCUUCGGGUUGUAAACCCCUUUUGCCGGGGAAGAAGAUCUGACGGUACCCGGCGAAUAAGCCACGGCUAACUACGUGCCAGCAGCCGCGGUAAUACGUAGGUGGCAAGCGUUGUUCGGAUUUACUGGGCGUAAAGAGCGUGUAGGCGGCCCGUUGGGUCCGCUGUGAAAUCUCCUGGCUUAACGGGGAGGGGUUCAGCGGAUACCGGCGGGCUAGAGGGGGGCAGAGGAAGGUGGAAUUCCCGGUGUAGGGGUGAAAUGCGUAGAUAUCGGGAGGAACACCAGUGGCGAAGGCGGCCUUCUGGGCCUACCCUGACGCUGA
Molecule: ribosomal RNA, 397 nt
Filed under: uncultured Chloroflexota bacterium
Lineage: Bacteria; Bacillati; Chloroflexota
Description: uncultured Chloroflexi bacterium partial 16S ribosomal RNA
Rfam family: Bacterial small subunit ribosomal RNA
Source: RNAcentral